GACGAACGCUGGCGGCGUGCCUAAUACAUGCCAGUAGAACGCUGAAGGAGGAGCUUGCUCUUCUGGAUGAGUUGCGAACGGGUGAGUAACGCGUAGGUAACCUGCCUGGUAGCGGGGGAUAACUAUUGGAAACGAUAGCUAAUACCGCAUAAGAGUAGAUGUUGCAUGACAUUUGCUUAAAAGGUGCAAUUGCAUCACUACCAGAUGGACCUGCGUUGUAUUAGCUAGUUGGUGGGGUAACGGCUCACCAAGGCGACGAUACAUAGCCGACCUGAGAGGGUGAUCGGCCACACUGGGACUGAGACACGGCCCAGACUCCUACGGGAGGCAGCAGUAGGGAAUCUUCGGCAAUGGACGGAAGUCUGACCGAGCAACGCCGCGUGAGUGAAGAAGGUUUUCGGACCGUAAAGCUCUGUUGUAAGAGAAGAACGAGUGUGAGAGUGGAAAGUUCACACUGUGACGGUAUCUUACCAGAAAGGGACGGCUAACUACGUG
RNAcentral lists this ribosomal RNA (495 nucleotides) under uncultured bacterium. Its description in RNAcentral is "partial 16S ribosomal RNA". It matches the Rfam family "Bacterial small subunit ribosomal RNA", at positions 28 to 507 of the family's 1533-position model. The record is from RNAcentral.